Cannabis sativa is the source of this 2122-nucleotide long non-coding RNA. RefSeq lists it as uncharacterized. The record is from RefSeq and is a predicted model, not a curated record. Lineage: Eukaryota; Viridiplantae; Streptophyta; Magnoliopsida; Rosales; Cannabaceae. The transcript is spliced from 2 exons.
UAUUAACGGAAGGAUCAUUGACCAAAACAAUUAUCGAGUUGAGGGAGUUUAGCCCGAAUUUUUCGAGUAAAGGAGUUAAACCAUAACAAAUGUAAAAAUUUAAGAAGUUUGGGCGCAAAUUGCCCUUAAUGCCAAAUAACUUCAAGGCACACACCCAAAUAAUACAAACCCAAAUUCACAUACCCCUAAUCCAUCCCCAUUUCAAUCCACCCUACCCUACCAAACAAAGCAUAAGUGCAGAGUUUUCCCCCUUUCUUUCUCUUGACUCUGAAGAAAUCCAAACACACCAAAAACCAACCAACCACGCACGGUUCGUUGUCAUUUCCCCUCUCUCUCUUCUCUCUCUUCUCUCUCUUUCGUUCGGAUUGACAUCUACAUUUUUCUUGAAUAAUUAAUAUUUAGGAAACCCAACACAAAUUUCAUCUUGUCUAAUUGUAUAGAUUGUUAUAUUUCACUCUAUGAAUUUGGGAUGUGGAAAUAAGUGAAGUGGUCCCAGUUAGUGUUUUCUGUGAUGCUUACCCUUACUUGCAAUUUUUUUGUUCAGGAUCAUAUUACUAUUUACUUUGGCUCCAACUACGUACUCUACUUUUAGAGGGAGCGUUCAUUUUCAAUCUCGUUAUACUUUUAGAGGGUUUCUUCUAAUAUGCAACUUAUUUUCUUCUUUCUCUUUAGGUUCCCUUUUCCAAUGUAGUGUAUAUAGAACGCUCCGAAAAGAUUUUCGGAUGAAGAUUCAAAAGAUUACUACCACAUUACUAGUGUCUCUCUGUUAUUUAUUCGAGGAUUUGUUGUAGACUUUGUCCUAAUACUUCUUCAUGUUGGGUUCAGAUACGCUUUCCCUAUCAAAUGCACGGAUGUUAUCCUAAGGAGACUGUUCUUGAAGUUCGGGCCGAGUAUGAUCCAUCUAAGAAGACAAAGCCAAAGAAUCCUGGUGAACUUGAAGACUGGCUUGCUGAUCUGAACCCGCAAUCCAAGACGGUUACACCCAAUGCAUACGCUGUUUAAUUAAUUUGCAUGAUAUAAUUGCAGUUGGCCAAAACUAUAAUUGAAGGUGUUUGAUCCAAAGUUUAACCAUGUGGUGUAGGGUAUUUUGUGGUCGAUAAGGAUUCAACUCCGGAGAAGCCUGUCUUUAAUCCGACGGUGACACUUAGAGACAGCUACAAUAAGAGUGGAAAGUUCUUUUUUCUUUUCUGUUUGUAUAAGAUGUUGUAAGAAAGCAUUCACAAAUUCUACUUGAGUCUCAUAUAGAUUUGAGUAAUCAACUACUAAUUGUAAUGGUUUGCUAAGUUUUUGAGAAGUUUAGUGAGUCCCCAUGUCCUCACUAAACUUUUGGAAAAGUUCCUGUUGAAUGAAGUGUUUGGUCUUUAGCAAAAAAGAAAACUACUACUGGAUAGCAUAGACUUGCUACCACUGUAAUUCCAAAUUCGAUAGCAUAAACCUUGCAAAUUCAGAAGGGAAGACUUGCUUUUAGGGCAAGUCCCAAAAGAUGAAAUAUCCCUCUGGACGCUCUCGGAGCACUGGUACGAGUAUGUGUUCGACUGUGAGUGGACAAUAAAGCCAAAUUCGAUAGAAUCGUGAUCCAAAGUAUGGCUCCACAUAAGGCUCCACUACAAGUACUGCUUGUGCUAAUGGUCGGGUGGAAUGGGGCUGUUGGCGCACAAAUAUCCUGGGAAUCGGGAGGAAAUCGGCCAUGUUAAUUGGCGGCACCAGAUAGUAGGGGUGUGGCGGUGGGAAAUGGCGGUACGACCCAGAGUGGGCAAAUGUGGUCAAAUGCUCAAAAGUUGAGACGGGCGGCGUAUCCAUUUUUUAGACCUGUUUUUGUUUGAAAAAGAGAAACACAAUCAAUAAAUAUAUCCAAACAAUUAAUGAAAGAAACUGGACUAAAAAAAAAUUUGCAUGCAAAGUUUCGUGCUAAGAUUGAUUGGGGUAUUGUUUAUAACACACAAGACAAAAACACAACAUCUAACAGAAUUGCAUGAGUGCUGGUAGAUUGUUAGGGACUUAUUUUUACUUAUUUGUCCUUACACCGUGAGCCUCUCCUUCCCUUUCCUCAUUAUAUGUAUAUAUAUAUAUACUCUGUUCACCUAUAUUUCUAAUUCAAUCAAUACAUUUGCUAUUCUCUCAA